RNAcentral lists this transfer RNA (76 nucleotides) under Ilumatobacteraceae bacterium. RNAcentral's name for it is "tRNA-Asn". It matches the Rfam family "tRNA". Rfam says of the family: Transfer RNA (tRNA) molecules are approximately 80 nucleotides in length. Their secondary structure includes four short double-helical elements and three loops (D, anti-codon, and T loops). RNAcentral also lists the same sequence under 3 other names. The record is from RNAcentral. Lineage: Bacteria; Bacillati; Actinomycetota; Acidimicrobiia; Acidimicrobiales; Ilumatobacteraceae.
UCCGGGGUAGCUCAGUUGGCAGAGCAACGGACUGUUAAUCCGUGUGUCGUGGGUUCGAGCCCCACUCCCGGAGCCA